This 253-nucleotide ribosomal RNA is filed under the name uncultured bacterium. RNAcentral's name for it is "partial 16S ribosomal RNA". It matches the Rfam family "Bacterial small subunit ribosomal RNA", at positions 524 to 776 of the family's 1533-position model. The record is from RNAcentral.
UACGGGGGGGGCAAGCGUUGUUCGGAAUUACUGGGCGUAAAGGGCUCGUAGGCGGCCAACUAAGUCAGACGUGAAAUCCCUCGGCUUAACCGGGGAACUGCGUCUGAUACUGGAUGGCUUGAGUUUGGGAGAGGGAUGCGGAAUUCCAGGUGUAGCGGUGAAAUGCGUAGAUAUCUGGAGGAACACCGGUGGCGAAGGCGGCGUUCUGGACUGCAACUGACACUGAGGAACGAAAGCCAGGGGAGCAAACGGG